UACGGGGGGGGCAAGCGUUGUUCGGAAUUACUGGGCGUAAAGGGCGCGUAGGCGGUUUGCUAAGUCGAAUGUGAAAACUCUGGGCUUAACCCAGAGCCUGCAUUCAAUACUGGCAGGCUAGAGUUCUGGAGGGGAUAGCGGAAUUCCUGGUGUAGCGGUGAAAUGCGUAGAUAUGACCCGGAACACCUAUUGCGAAGGCAGCAGGCUAAACAAAUAUUGACGCUGAGGCUCGAAAGCGUGGGGAUCAAACAGG
Molecule: ribosomal RNA, 253 nt
Filed under: uncultured bacterium
Lineage: Bacteria
Description: partial 16S ribosomal RNA
Rfam family: Bacterial small subunit ribosomal RNA
Source: RNAcentral